GCAUGAUCAGAAUAUCAAAGGAUUCUCUUCGGAGAUUCCACUUUGAGAUGGACCCGCGGCGCAUUAGCUAGUUGGUGAGGUAACGGCUCAUCAAGGCAACGAUGCGUAGCCGACCUGAGAGGGUGAUCGGCCACAUUGGAACUGAGACACGGUCCAGACUCCUACGGGAGGCAGCAGUGGGGAAUAUUGCGCAAGUGGGGGAAACCCUGACGCAGCAACGCCGCGUGAAUGAAAGGGCCUUCGGGUUUAAAGUUC
RNAcentral lists this ribosomal RNA (255 nucleotides) under uncultured bacterium. RNAcentral describes it as "partial 16S ribosomal RNA". It matches the Rfam family "Bacterial small subunit ribosomal RNA", at positions 188 to 433 of the family's 1533-position model. The record is from RNAcentral.